This 1119-nucleotide ribosomal RNA is filed under the name Triticum aestivum (bread wheat). RNAcentral's name for it is "partial small subunit ribosomal RNA". Lineage: Eukaryota; Viridiplantae; Streptophyta; Magnoliopsida; Poales; Poaceae. The record is from RNAcentral.
AUGGCCGCCUCCCUCUUCCGCCUCUCCCGGCCCCGCCGCGCGCUCCUCCCGUUCUCCGCCCACCGCGUCCCUCUCUCCACCCAGCCCCUCCCGCAACCCAGGGACCCGUCCUCCCCCAACUGCAACCGCGGCCUUCCCGCCUUCCUCUCCUUCCUUGCCGCCGCCGCAGCCGCAGGCGGAACCACCGCUUCCGUCGCUCUCUGCGAUGCCGGCCCCGACCACCGGGUCGGUGGGAAAGACAGCGCCGAGCUGGUGGUGCGUGGGGAGCGCAAGCGCGUGCCAAAGGAGUUCAUACAAGAGCUCGCAUCCUUCCUCGGGGACAACCUGACGGUGGAUUACGAGGAGAGGAGCUUCCACGGGAAGCCGCAGAGCAGCUUCCACAAAGCAGUCAACGUGCCCGACGUCGUCGUCUUCCCAAAGUCCCAGGAUGAGGUGCGAAAGAUUGUGAUGGUUUGUAACAAGUACAAGGUGCCAAUUGUACCAUAUGGUGGGGCUACAUCAAUUGAGGGCCAUACGUUGGCACCUCAUGGUGGCGUUUGCAUUGACAUGUCUUCAAUGAAGAAAAUCAAAUCCCUGCAUGUUGAGGAUAUGGAUAUUGUAGUUGAACCAGGAGUUGGAUGGAUUGAGCUGAAUGAAUACCUGAAACCCCAUGGUCUCUUUUUCCCUCUUGACCCAGGACCUGGAGCCACUAUUGGUGGAAUGUGCGCUACACGAUGUUCUGGUUCAUUAGCUGUGAGGUAUGGAACUAUGCGAGAUAAUGUGAUCAAUCUUCAGGCUGUUCUACCAGAUGGCGAUGUUGUCAAGACUGGUUCUCGGGCUCGAAAGAGUGCAGCUGGAUAUGACCUAACUCGGUUGAUCAUUGGAAGUGAAGGGACUUUAGGGGUAAUUACAGAAGUGACUUUACGACUUCAAAAGCUUCCAUCUCAUUCUGUGGUUGCUAUGUGCAAUUUUCAAACUGUUAAGGAUGCUGCUGAUGUUGCUAUUGCAACAAUGCAUUCUGGCAUACAGGUCUCGAGAGUGGAAUUGUUGGAUGAGGUUCAGAUAAGGGCAAUAAACAUGGCAAAUGGUAAAAGCUUGCCUGAAGUGCCGACCUUGAUGUUUGAAUUCAUAGGGACAUAA